GGAGAAGUACUUAAGUAAGUAAGAGGCGCCCCUGCUUUUGGCAGUGAGAGGGUUCAAAUCCCUCCUUCUCCG
Molecule: transfer RNA, 72 nt
Filed under: Aquibacillus koreensis
Lineage: Bacteria; Bacillati; Bacillota; Bacilli; Caryophanales; Bacillaceae
Description: Virgibacillus koreensis tRNA
Rfam family: tRNA
About the family: Transfer RNA (tRNA) molecules are approximately 80 nucleotides in length.
Source: Rfam by way of RNAcentral